ACACGGUGAUCGGCAGGGGCUCAGUCUGACGGUCACGCCAGUGUUGGUGAUGACACGACGGGGGUUGGCGUGUUGCCUCGUCGGCGUCGUCGCCUUCCUGACCUGCUGUGUCGCCCAAGAUGCGGUCACCGAUGAGGUCGCAGGCGCGGACCCCCAUACCACCACUGAGAGUACCUCUAUGGGAGGCGACCCGUUCGGUCCGAGUGACCUGAGCGGCCCGGCCGGUACGGCCACGUGUCGCCACUGGCCGUCCCUACAGUGCAGCCAGCUCUCCUGCUCGGGCCGUGGAGUUAUCGACUGUCGAGACCGAGAGUCGUCAGUCGCUGAUGACGACGUCAUCCGUAUGCUAGCCACCUCAUUCUACAUACAUCUGAAAAGUACUCUUCUGGCCGGAUUUGUCCGCAACUCCACCUUAUCAGCCCAGCUACAAAAUGCCAGCCGCAGCGCGAGUAUCGAAGCUUCGAAUGGGAAAACAUCCAAGGGCGAUGCAUCAGAAGGUCAUGCGGUUAUUAUGACGAGACAAAAUAAUGUGACAGUGUUACCAGUUUCGCAGCAAGACGGCGACACGCCUUUCAAUGUUGAUCGUUCAAACCUCGGUAUUGACGGAGUCACAUAUAUACCGUUAGAUGAAAUGGCAGUAGGUGCUGCAGGCCGCACUUUGGGAGAAUCAGACAGUAAAAGUCUAAAAGAUAAAACGGAAAUCGCCUUUUCUGAGCGCAAGGGCAUUGCCUCUCAUGAUGAAACGCUAGCCAAUGCCAAUAAUGGAAGCACAAGUA
Molecule: long non-coding RNA, 776 nt
Organism: Amphibalanus amphitrite
Lineage: Eukaryota; Metazoa; Arthropoda; Thecostraca; Balanomorpha; Balanidae
Exons: 3
Source: RefSeq, a predicted model, not a curated record